AUUGAACGCUGGCGGAAUGCUUUACACAUGCAAGUCGAGCGGCAGCGCGGGGGCAACCCUGGCGGCGAGCGGCGAACGGGUGAGUAAUACAUCGGAACGUGUCCUUGAGUGGGGGAUAGCUCGGCGAAAGCCGGAUUAAUACCGCAUAAGCUCUGAGGAGGAAAGCGGGGGACUGGUAACGGCCUCGCGCUGUUGGAGCGGCCGAUGUCGGAUUAGCUAGUUGGUGGGGAAAGGCCCACCAAGGCGACGAUCCGUAGCUGGUCUGAGAGGAUGAUCAGCCACACUGGAACUGAGACACGGUCCAGACUCCUACGGGAGGCAGCAGUGGGGAAUUUUGGACAAUGGGGGCAACCCUGAUCCAGCCAUUCCGCGUGAGUGAAGAAGG
Molecule: ribosomal RNA, 385 nt
Filed under: uncultured bacterium
Lineage: Bacteria
Description: bacterial SSU rRNA
Rfam family: Bacterial small subunit ribosomal RNA
Source: RNAcentral